UACAGAGGUGGCAAGCGUUGUUCGGAAUCACUGGGCGUAAAGGGCGCGUAGGCGGCUACGCACGUCCGUUGUGAAAUCGCUCGGCUCAACUGGGCGGGGUCAGCGGAUACGGUGUAGCUGGAGCAAGCUAGGGGGCAAUGGAAUUCCCGGUGUAGUGGUGGAAUGCGUAGAUAUCGGGAGGAACACCAGUGGCGAAGGCGGUUGCCUGGAGCUUUGCUGACGCUGAUGCGCGAAAGCGUGGGGAGCGAUCCGG
Molecule: ribosomal RNA, 253 nt
Filed under: uncultured bacterium
Lineage: Bacteria
Description: partial 16S ribosomal RNA
Rfam family: Bacterial small subunit ribosomal RNA
Source: RNAcentral